Molecule: long non-coding RNA, 485 nt
Filed under: Cicer arietinum (chickpea)
Lineage: Eukaryota; Viridiplantae; Streptophyta; Magnoliopsida; Fabales; Fabaceae
Description: long non-coding RNA (CARI_LNC000256)
Source: RNAcentral
UAUUAACUAGAAUUUCUCAUUCAACCAUAAAACACAAAACUUCAUACGAAGCUUUACAUUUAAAAAUCAAUGACAAUGAGUCAUAAUUUUUUUACAAAAUCUAAAUUAUCAAAUUUAGAGCUACAUAAUAUUCACUAGUUAAAAAAGAACAUUAUCUUCUAUUAACAGUCUAAAGAUACUAAAAUGAUACAAGUGCUUCAAGCAUUUUCUAUUAGUUCAAGAAUCAAGUUUGCACAACGUUGUCGGACAUUCAUCAUUUCUUCAUCUUCGAAUGGUUUUGAUUUUCCAAAUAUCUGAAUUAUAAACAUUGAAAUAACAAAGUUAUCUAAAUCAUGUGACCAUAAAAAUCAUAAGUAGUUAAUUAAUACUAACUUUGAAAAAAUCUAUCACAUAUCCGCAUCCAUGAAUCAACAAGACCACUAGAUACAAUGUUCAACAUAUGUAUUAUAAUGUAGUAACUACACUCAUAACCUUUAGGUUGUCUU